Prunus persica (peach) is the source of this 1809-nucleotide RNA transcript. RefSeq lists it as uncharacterized. The transcript is spliced from 4 exons. The record is from RefSeq and is a predicted model, not a curated record. NCBI's taxonomy places the organism in Eukaryota, Viridiplantae, Streptophyta, Magnoliopsida, Rosales, Rosaceae.
AUGUACGAAAUUGUAUAUCAUCUUUCUAAUAAAUUUCCUGCCUCAGUAACUGCUCGUGGUCCUGUAAGAGUUGGCUGGGAUCCCAUGUCACAUGUAGGAGGAUACACUGAGUUGAGGGUUUGUUCUAAUACUGACUCUGCCCGUUGUCCUGGAAAAAUUGGCUGGGAUCCCUUGUCACAUGUAGGAUACACUGAGUUGAAGAUUAGUUCUGAUACUGACUCUGAGUUUCCAUUUUCUGAUCACGACGAUGGUAGCAGUUUCAUCAGUGGAAUUCAUGAGCCUAAGAGGGAAGGAUUUGUAGUUCAAUGUGUUUCAAAGCACCAGUGGAAGGUUUGAAUCCAGCAAAGCAGAGCAAUGUUUCCUACAAACACAAACCUUCACCUUCUGAUCCAUGUGUGCAGCCAGAUGGUAGCAAGGCCUCUGAGGUAAAGGUCUUGGGUGCCAAUGUUGCUGUUGAGAAUGGCUUCGAUGAGCCUAACUGGCAGUGGCAACAAGCGAGUUGGACGUCCAAUCCUUCUGCAUUAGCUGAGCUUAUUUCACCAGAUGAUGUCCCUCCAUCAUCUAAUGUUGUUGAAACAUGCAUGCCAUGGAUAAAUAUUACUGGGACAAGCGACUUUGGACAUGCAUCCACCAAUAAGAACGACAAACUUUUGAAGUCUAUAAGGGCAACAGAUGGAGCAUCUGCUAAAACUGAUCCUAUCAUAUAUGAUCCAGCUCUUGUAAAGCCAAAUCAUAUUAGUGUAAAUGUUGUGUCUGAGUCAGCAGCCACCGGUAAAGAAGCAGAUUUGUCUGGUAUUGUUAAAGAACCAACAUUGAAGGAACCUGAUAGAGUUGAUGGGGAACUGAAACAGUCGGCUUCACAAAAUUCUUCUGCGCAGGAGAGUAAUUUAUCAUCAAAUAAUACAAUGUCUGGGGUAAAUGGUUGCGCUGAUGAAAAGCAGGUAACUGAUGCUUCCAAAUCUAAUCCAAAGCCAAUGCUUCAUACAACAGCAGUAGAAUCUGCUCUUGAAUCUCUGGAUGGAGGCUAUGUCGAAGUACCCGAAGCUAGUAAUGAUCGUCUUUUUUCUGAAACUACGCUUUUAGAGUUUGAGGAUGAAAAGUUAUACAUUUCAAAUUGUUUGAAGAGCUUGGAGAGGAAGCUCUCUGAAAUUUCCUGUAAUGGGGUUCCCUCCAACAUGCCUAAUGGUGGGCAAGCUAGAAAGUAUAUGGAUGAUGAACCAAUUCAAGAAGAGACUCCUAGACAAGAGAGGGUUCUAUUAAAUGGUCAGGUUGAAGAGAAUGUUGUGCAUGGACAAAAAGAUUUACAUGUAUCUAACGGAAGCUCUGCUGCUCAAGAGGGGCCAGCUCAUUCUGAAAGUUUAGGCCAUGAAGAAAAAAAUGAUUCCGAUUUCCAUGGGCAAAAUGAUUUCAUGGAUCAUAGAGAAACCGAGUUGGUUGUUCUGGAAAAUGAAAUCUCAGACCUUAAUGAUAGGUUGGAGGCACUAGAGACUGAUCAUGAUUUUCUUGAGUACAUGCUUUACUCUCUUCAAAAUGGAAAUGAAGGCCUACGGUUUGUUCAAGACAUAGCUCAUCAGCUGCGAGAAUUGCGAAAACUUGGGACCGCUUUCAGAUGUCAGUCUGUUUCCUAACUUCAGAUGCACCAUCACAUGAUUUCUUUGAAAUACAAGGGCAGAAAUCAAAACCAAUGCUUCGAGUUUCAAUCAGCGAUCAUCUGAGUGCAAAAAUGAAGAAAUCAAUUGCAUUCCUUCAGUCACCUACAAUCAUGAAAAACCAAAAUGAAUUUCAUGUACAGGUACCGGCCAAAACUCU